GCGGAUGGCCGGAUGACCGCGGCGGCAACGUCGAGGAAAGUCCGGACUCCAUAAAGGUACGGUGCCGGGUAACGCCCGGCGGGGGAAACCCCAGGGAAAGCGCCACAGAGAAGAAACCGCCCAUGCAUGCAUGGGCAAGGGUGAAACGGUGGGGUAAGAGCCCACCGCGGGGCUGGUAACAGUCCCGGCACGGCAAGCCCCACCGGGAGCAACGCCGAAUAGGGACCGCGCGUCGCAAGACAGGGCUGCCUUUGCCCCAGCAGGUCCGGGUUGGCAGCUAGAUCCCGUCGGUAACGGCGGGGCCAGAGGAAUGGUCAUCGAAGGGGGCGACCCCGGAACAAAAUCCGGCUUACAGGCCAUCCGCGCGA
Molecule: RNase P RNA, 368 nt
Filed under: Paracoccus methylovorus
Lineage: Bacteria; Pseudomonadati; Pseudomonadota; Alphaproteobacteria; Rhodobacterales; Paracoccaceae
Description: Paracoccus sp. H4-D09 RNase P RNA component class A
Rfam family: Bacterial RNase P class A
About the family: Ribonuclease P (RNase P) is a ubiquitous endoribonuclease, found in archaea, bacteria and eukarya as well as chloroplasts and mitochondria. Its best characterised activity is the generation of mature 5'-ends of tRNAs by cleaving the 5'-leader elements of precursor-tRNAs.
Source: RNAcentral